RNAcentral lists this ribosomal RNA (346 nucleotides) under uncultured eukaryote. Its description in RNAcentral is "SSU rRNA". It matches the Rfam family "Eukaryotic small subunit ribosomal RNA", at positions 594 to 945 of the family's 1831-position model. The record is from RNAcentral.
AUAGCGUAUAUUAAAGUUGUUGCAGUUAAAAAGCUCGUAGUUGAACCUUGGGCCUGGCUGGCCGGUCCGCCUCACCGCGUGCACUGGUCCGGCCGGGCCUUUCCUUCUGGGGAGCUGCAUGCCCUUCACUGGGUGUGUCGGGGAACCAGGACUUUUACUUUGAAAAAAUUAGAGUGUUCAAAGCAGGCCUAUGCCCGAAUACAUUAGCAUGGAAUAAUAGAAUAGGACGUGUGGUUCUAUUUUGUUGGUUUCUAGAACCGCCGUAAUGAUUAAUAGGGAUAGUCGGGGGCAUCAGUAUUCAAUUGUCAGAGGUGAAAUUCUUGGAUUUAUUGAAGACUAACUACUG